Molecule: long non-coding RNA, 479 nt
Filed under: Trifolium pratense (red clover)
Lineage: Eukaryota; Viridiplantae; Streptophyta; Magnoliopsida; Fabales; Fabaceae
Description: long non-coding RNA (TPRA_LNC013109)
Source: RNAcentral
UACAUUACAAUUCAUUGCAUACAUUCAUAUUAUAACAUUAAAAUUUGUAAGAAAUACAAAAAAANNNNNNNNNNNNNNNNNNNAAAAAAAAAAGAUUAAUCAUAAUGAUCUUCCACCUUCAUAUUUUCAUCCUCCUCCAUAUUUUCAUCGUCUUCCUUCUCCCCAUUUUGAGGUAUAAAUGAAAGAGAAUAAAAGGGUUGAAGGAAUCCCUUCCGAUUAAUCAUAAUGAUCCUAAGAGGCCUCAAAAAGUCCCUCGCCGAUUAACAUAAUGAUCUCAAUCGCCGCCAUCAAAGAACAUGCAUGCAUAAGAUCAUUAUGAUUAAUCGGCGACGAACAUUGAGGCCGUUCACCCCUAAAAUAACAAAACUUACAACAAAACUAAUAAGCUAAAAAAAUAUGAGAGAAGAAAUGGAAGAGGAAGAAAAAAUGAGAAUGUGAAAAAAAAUGAAAGGAAAGAGUUUAAUUUAUGGGCAUUUGGU